Molecule: small nuclear RNA, 103 nt
Organism: Onychomys torridus (southern grasshopper mouse)
Lineage: Eukaryota; Metazoa; Chordata; Mammalia; Rodentia; Cricetidae
Source: RefSeq, a predicted model, not a curated record
UUGCUUUGGCAGCACAUAUACUAAAAUUGGAACAAAUACAGAGAAGAUUAGCAUGGCCCCAGUGAAAGAAGACUCUCAAAUUCAUGAAAGAUUCCAUAUUUUU